UGGGGAAUAUUGGACAAUGGGCGAAAGCCUGAUCCAGCGACGCCGCGUGUGUGAAGAAGGCCUGCGGGUUGUAAAGCACUUUCGAUGGGAACGAAAUGUGCCGGGUUAAUACCCCGGUAAGCUGACGUUACUCAAUGAAGAAGCACCGGCUAACUCUGUGCCAGCAGCCGCGGUAAUACAGAGGGUGCGAGCGUUAAUCGGAAUUACUGGGCGUAAAGCGCACGUAGGUGGUUUUGUAAGUCGGAUGUGAAAGCCCUCGGCUUAACCGGGGAAGUGCAUUCGAAACUGCCAGACUUGAGUAUGGGAGAGGGUCGCGGAAUUCCCGGUGUAGAGGUGAAAUUCGUAGAUAUCGGGAGGAACACCAGUGGCGAAGGCGGCGACCUGGACCAAUACUGACGCUGAGGUGCGAAAGCGUGGGGAGCAAACAGGAUUAGAUACCCCCGUAGUCCCUGAGCGGGCUGGCAAGGCGCAU
This 472-nucleotide ribosomal RNA is filed under the name uncultured bacterium. RNAcentral describes it as "bacterial SSU rRNA". It matches the Rfam family "Bacterial small subunit ribosomal RNA", at positions 355 to 825 of the family's 1533-position model. The record is from RNAcentral.